CUUAUAUUUAUCUCUUCAAACAUAAAAGAUAAUAAUAAGUACAUCAACAACUGUAGCUGUUCACCUAAUCUUUGCUAGGCACAAGGGCUUUUCUUUUCUUCUAAAAUCUAUACAUAUAUUUUUGUGAAGAGAAUGCUUAAAACACACUUGUGUCUUCAUAUUUCAAAUCCAUUGUUGCAUUAAUUUCCAGAAAGAAUACAAUCUAACCACAUAAUUGUUAAUUUCCUGUAAGGCAUGCCUCAUGGAAAUAGACCCCCUUAAGAAGCCUCCUGGACCCUGUUGCUCAUUUUCUUUUGUAGAAGACCUUGUGCCAGGCUAACCUUUCUGCCCCAAAACGUUUAUAAUUCGUCCAGACCUCCAUAUUGUGAAUGUGUAAAAACUUUCAAGCAGCAUUUCUAUAUAACCAAAAUAACAAUGCAUUACUCCAUUUCUGCCAUCCAGGAUGAAUAAUCUAAAAUCCCUUUUUCAACCAGUUUCCUUCUCUCUCAUAUUUUACAGCUGCCAAAAUCUUUACAUUGUGCUUGAGCAUUGAACUACUGCUUUGAGUACUUUGACUUAAUUUUCAGAACUCUCAGCCUUGUCACCAACCACAAAACGAUUUUUAUCAGUGUUCAAGCCUGAUGAAUGAAGCUGCUUCCGCCUCUUUACAAGAAGAAGUGCAGUCUGCCUGUCGUCUUUAGCCUCCUCAGAAUAAGGCUUUAUGGCUAAUGCUUUGUCAAAGCUUUCAAUGGCACUAUCAGGUUCCCCAAAGUUUAACUGUGCUCUACCAAGGGUGAUCCAUGCCUCAGCCCAGGAAGGUUCCAACUCAGUAGCUCGAGUCGCAGCCUUCAAUGCAUUCCAUGCGUCUCCAAUUUCAAGUAAAACUUGUGCCUUUUGUUCGUGUAAGACAGCACUUUCAGGCAUCAAAUUAAGAGCAGCCUCCCACUUCCCAAGUGCUUCACGGUAUUUUCCAUCCUCAGCUAGCUUAUUCCCUUGGGCUUGAAAGGACUCAGCAAGAUGCCUAUCGGAUUCUGAAUUCAAGGGCUCGUGAGAGGCAACCACCAGCUCGCUAUUACUAUGCUCCUCAUCCUUACUACCAAUCUCUAUAGAAUCUCCAGGGUCUUGUUGAUCAAAAGGGAGAUUUGGGUACUUCGAUAUGGCUGCCAGAGAGCGUUUCUUGCUCUUAUUGUCCUUCUUCCAUGUUAGCUUCAUCUCUCGCUUCCUCUGCGCGAACCCUCGGCUCUUCUCUGUCGAAGUCGAAGGAC
This 1244-nucleotide unclassified non-coding RNA is filed under the name Hevea brasiliensis (rubber tree). The record is from RNAcentral. Lineage: Eukaryota; Viridiplantae; Streptophyta; Magnoliopsida; Malpighiales; Euphorbiaceae.